UACGAAAGGUGCGAGCGUUAUCCGGAUUCACUGGGCGUAAAGCGCGCGUAGACGUUUUUGUAACUCUUUGGUAAAAUUUCAGGGCUCAACUCUGAAAUCGUCAAGGAAAGUGCAAAAAUAGAGGAAUGGAGAGGGAAGUGGAAUUCUCGGUGUAGGAGUUAAAUCCGUUGAUAUCGAGAGGAACACCAAAAGCGAAGGCAGCUUCCUGGCCAUCUCCUGACGUUCAGGCGCGAAAGCGUGGGUAGCGAAAAGG
This 253-nucleotide ribosomal RNA is filed under the name uncultured bacterium. RNAcentral's name for it is "partial 16S ribosomal RNA". It matches the Rfam family "Bacterial small subunit ribosomal RNA", at positions 524 to 776 of the family's 1533-position model. The record is from RNAcentral.